CGCACAUUGCGCCCUUUGGUAUUCCUUAGGGCAUGCCUGUUCGAGCGUCAUUGACAACCCUCAAGCCCCCCUUUCUGGCUUGGUGUUGGGCGUUUGUCCCCCCGGGGACUCGCCUCAAAUACAUUGGCAGCCGGCACGUUGGCCCCGAGCGCAGCAGAAACGCGCCCGGCGUCUUGACGGUGCCCGGCUCUCCACGAAGCCCACCCCCACAGUUUGACCUCGGAUCAGGUAGGGAUACCCGCUGAACUUAA
RNAcentral lists this unclassified non-coding RNA (251 nucleotides) under Acremonium sp. RNAcentral's name for it is "partial contains 5.8S ribosomal RNA, internal transcribed spacer 2, and large subunit ribosomal RNA". The record is from RNAcentral. Lineage: Eukaryota; Fungi; Ascomycota; Sordariomycetes; Hypocreales; Bionectriaceae.